UCCCUGGUGGCUCAGUGGCUAAAGAAUCUGCCUGAAACGCAGGAAACCUGGGUUCAACCCCUGGGUUGGGAA
This 72-nucleotide transfer RNA is filed under the name Bos taurus (domestic cattle). It matches the Rfam family "tRNA". From Rfam's summary of the family: Transfer RNA (tRNA) molecules are approximately 80 nucleotides in length. The record is from Rfam by way of RNAcentral. Lineage: Eukaryota; Metazoa; Chordata; Mammalia; Artiodactyla; Bovidae. RNAcentral also lists the same sequence under 3 other names.